AGUGCCUUCUGAAAAUAUUCAGAACCUUUCAUUUUUUCCACAUUUUGUUCUGUUACAAGCUUAUGCUAAAAUUUAAUACAUGAAUCAGUGCUUCACAGGCUCAUUCAUAGUGAAACCAGUGCAUCCCAGGUGCAUCAGAAUGAAAUCAGUGCAUCACAGGCACAUCAGAAUGAAAUCAGUGCAUCCCAGGUGCAUCAGAAUUAAAUCAGUGCAUCACAGGCACAUCAGAAUGAAAUCAGUGCAUCACAGGUGCAUCAGAAUGAAAUCAGUGCAUCACAGGCACAUCAGAAUGAAAUCAGUGCAUCCCAGGCACAUCAGAAUGAAAUCAGUGUGCAUCCCAGGCGCAUCAGAAUGAAAUCAGUGCAUCACAGGCACAUCAGAAUGAAAUCAGUGCAUCACAGGCACAUCAGAAUGAAAUCAGUGCAUCCCAGGUGCAUCAGAAUGACAUCAGUGUGUCACAGGCACCUCAGUACAUGUACUAUUUGAGAACAGGAGUAUUUGCAGAGUUGCUAUUUAACAUAAGUGGAAGUCCUCCUAAGACUAGGUAUGCAAUCUUUUUGACAAAGUUGCCAAAAAUCUGACUAUUACUCAGUCAUGUCAAACAAAGGAACAACAUACAGCCUCUCAUCACCACCACAAGCACUUGAAGGACAAAAUGCUUACAUUUCAGAUCAUCAACUUUGACAACUUUGUCAUCAACACCAUCAAACACAGUGAAUGCAUGGUCAUGUUCACUGAAAUGAUCAGUAUGUGUCACGGCUUUCUUCGUCGGAGGACAAUAUGGCGAAAUCGUCGUCUGAAAAUGUGGACCAAUAUGCAGCAGAGUUGGUGUUCAUUUUCUUAAUUUAUUAACGAACGUUGAACACGAAAAAACAAGAAAACAAUAAGCACGACAAAUGACAGUUUUGCAGGCUAUACAUACGCAGUGCAAAAACAAUCUCCCACAAAUACAAGACAAACACACCCAACUAAUAUAGGACUUCCAAUCAAAGGCAACACCAAACAGCUGCCUUCAAUUGGAAGUCCACCCCAAUUAACUCAACAUAGAAACACACUCACUAGACUACACAUAGAAAUACAUAAACAUAGACCAUAACUCAAAACCUGGAAAUAAUAAAUCAAACACCCUCCUAACUAACACACCACCCUGAACCACAUAUUACAAAUACCCUUUGCCACGUCCUGACCAAACUACAAUAACAAUUAACCCUUAUACUGGCCAGGACGUGACAGUACCCCCUUAAAGGUGCUAACCCCGGAAGCACCUUAAAAAAAAAAAAAAAAAUAAAUAAAAUACAACCCCAAACAACAAAACAAAAAUUCCCCUCUACUAAAAGGGAGGGAAGGGAGGGUGGCUGCCGUCAACGACGGCACUGUGCUAACCCCCCCUCCCCAACCCACCUAUAUCAGGAGGUGGCUCCGGUUCUGGCCGUUCCAGGCAGUCGGGCCACUCUGGCAGCUCGGGGUAGUCUGGCAGCUCGGGGCAGUCUGACCAGUCUGGCAGCUCGGGGCAGUCUGGGCAGUCUGGCAGCUCGGGACAGUCUGGGCAGUCUGGCAGCUCGGGACAGUCUGGGCAGUCUGGCAGCUCGGGACAGUCUGGGCAGUCUGGCAGCUCGGGACAGUCUGGGCAGUCUGGCAGCUCGGGACAGUCUGGACAGUCUGGCAGCUCGGGACAGUCUGGCAGCUCGGGACAGUCUGGCAGCUCGGGACAGUCUGGCAGCUCGGGACAGUCUGGGCAGUCUGGCAGCUCGGGACAGUCUGGGCAGUCUGGCAGCUCGGGACAGUCUGGACAGUCUGGCAGCUCGGGACAGUCUGGCAGCUCGGGACAGUCUGGCAGCUCGGGACAGUCUAGCAG
This 1855-nucleotide long non-coding RNA is filed under the name Salmo salar (Atlantic salmon). RNAcentral's name for it is "lncRNA (ENSSSAG00000105078.1)". Lineage: Eukaryota; Metazoa; Chordata; Actinopteri; Salmoniformes; Salmonidae. The record is from RNAcentral.